GAUGAACGCUGGCGGCGUGCCUAAUACAUGCAAGUCGAGCGAACGGACGAGGAGCUUGCUUCUUUGACGUUAGCGGCGGACGGGUGAGUAACACGUGGGUAACCUACCUAUAAGACUGGGAUAACUUCGGGAAACCGGAGCUAAUACCGGAUAAUAUUUCGAACCGCAUGGUUCGAUAGUGAAAGAGGGCUCUGCUGUCACUUAUAGAUGGACCUGCGCUGGAUUAGCUAGUUGGUAAGGUAACGGCUUACCAAGGCAACGAUACGUAGCCGACCUGAGAGGGUGAUCGGCCACACUGGAACUGAGACACGGUCCAGACUCCUACGGGAGGCAGCAGUAGGGAAUCUUCCGCAAUGGGCGAAAGCCUGACGGAGCAACGCCGCGUGAGUGAUGAAGGUCUUCGGAUCGUAAAACUCUGUUAUUAGGGAAGAACAGAAGUGUAAGUAACUGUGCACGUCUUGACGGUACCUAAUCAGAAAGCCACGGCUAACUACGUG
RNAcentral lists this ribosomal RNA (497 nucleotides) under uncultured bacterium. RNAcentral describes it as "partial 16S ribosomal RNA". It matches the Rfam family "Bacterial small subunit ribosomal RNA", at positions 28 to 507 of the family's 1533-position model. The record is from RNAcentral.